RNAcentral lists this ribosomal RNA (430 nucleotides) under Pseudomonadota bacterium. RNAcentral's name for it is "Proteobacteria bacterium partial 16S ribosomal RNA". It matches the Rfam family "Bacterial small subunit ribosomal RNA", at positions 355 to 776 of the family's 1533-position model. Lineage: Bacteria; Pseudomonadati; Pseudomonadota. The record is from RNAcentral.
UGGGGAAUAUUGGACAAUGGGGGGAACCCUGAUCCAGCCAUGCCGCGUGUGUGAAGAAGGCCUUAUGGUUGUAAAGCACUUUAAGCGAGGAGGAGGGUACUGGUAUUAAUACUACCAGGUACUGGACGUUACUCGCAGAAUAAGCAUCGGCUAACUCUGUGCCAGCAGCCGCGGUAAUACAGAGGGUGCGAGCGUUAAUCGGAUUUACUGGGCGUAAAGCGUGCGUAGGCGGCUAAUUGAGUCGGAUGUGAAAUCCCCGAGCUUAACUUGGGAAUUGCAUUCGAUACUGGUUAGCUAGAGUGUGGGAGAGGAUGGUAGAAUUCCAGGUGUAGCGGUGAAAUGCGUAGAGAUCUGGAGGAAUACCGAUGGCGAAGGCAGCCAUCUGGCCUAACACUGACGCUGAGGUACGAAAGCAUGGGGAGCAAACAGG